Molecule: ribosomal RNA, 390 nt
Filed under: Veillonella dispar
Lineage: Bacteria; Bacillati; Bacillota; Negativicutes; Veillonellales; Veillonellaceae
Description: bacterial SSU rRNA
Rfam family: Bacterial small subunit ribosomal RNA
Source: RNAcentral
UUCCGCAAUGGACGAAAGUCUGACGGAGCAACGCCGCGUGAGUGAUGACGGCCUUCGGGUUGUAAAGCUCUGUUAAUCGGGACGAAAGGCCUUCUUGCGAAUAGUUAGAAGGAUUGACGGUACCGGAAUAGAAAGCCACGGCUAACUACGUGCCAGCAGCCGCGGUAAUACGUAGGUGGCAAGCGUUGUCCGGAAUUAUUGGGCGUAAAGCGCGCGCAGGCGGAUAGGUCAGUCUGUCUUAAAAGUUCGGGGCUUAACCCCGUGAUGGGAUGGAAACUGCCAAUCUAGAGUAUCGGAGAGGAAAGUGGAAUUCCUAGUGUAGCGGUGAAAUGCGUAGAUAUUAGGAAGAACACCAGUGGCGAAGGCGACUUUCUGGACGAAAACUGACGC